This 375-nucleotide ribosomal RNA is filed under the name uncultured bacterium. Its description in RNAcentral is "bacterial SSU rRNA". It matches the Rfam family "Bacterial small subunit ribosomal RNA", at positions 523 to 898 of the family's 1533-position model. The record is from RNAcentral.
ACACGUAGGGGGCGAGCGUUGUUCGGAAUUAUUGGGCGUAAAGGGCGUGUAGGCGGUUCUGCAAGCCUGGUGUGUAAGGCUACGGCUUAACCGUAGGAUUGCGCUGGGAACUGCAGGACUAGAGUCCGGAAAGGGGAGGUAGAAUUCCUGGUGUAGGGGUGAAAUCUGUAGAUAUCAGGAAGAAUACCGGUGGCGAAGGCGACCUCCUGGUCUAGGACUGACGCUGAGGCGCGAAAGCGUGGGGAGCGAACAGGAUUAGAUACCCUGGUAGUCCACGCUGUAAACGAUGUGCACUAGGUGUUGGGGUGACGUAGCCUCAGUGCCGUAGCUAACGCGAUAAGUGCACCGCCUGGGGAGUAUGCUCGCAAGGGUGAA